RNAcentral lists this ribosomal RNA (253 nucleotides) under uncultured bacterium. Its description in RNAcentral is "partial 16S ribosomal RNA". It matches the Rfam family "Bacterial small subunit ribosomal RNA", at positions 524 to 776 of the family's 1533-position model. The record is from RNAcentral.
UACGAAGGGGGCUAGCGUUGCUCGGAAUCACUGGGCGUAAAGGGUGCGUAGGCGGGUCUUUAAGUCAGGGGUGAAAUCCUGGAGCUCAACUCCAGAACUGCCUUUGAUACUGAAGAUCUUGAGUUCGGGAGAGGUGAGUGGAACUGCGAGUGUAGAGGUGAAAUUCGUAGAUAUUCGCAAGAACACCAGUGGCGAAGGCGACUUACUGGACACAUAUUGACGCUGAGGUGCGAAAGCGUGGGGAGCAAACAGG